GAGUUUGAUCCUGGCUCAGAUUGAACGCUGGCGGCAUGCCUUACACAUGCAAGUCGAACGGCAGCACGGGAGCUUGCUCCUGGUGGCGAGUGGCGAACGGGUGAGUAAUGCAUCGGAACGUAUCCUGGAGUGGGGGAUAACGUAGCGAAAGUUACGCUAAUACCGCAUAUUCUGUGAGCAGGAAAGCGGGGGACCUUCGGGCCUCGCGCUCUUGGAGCGGCCGAUGUCGGAUUAGCUAGUUGGUGAGGUAAAGGCUCACCAAGGCGACGAUCCGUAGCAGGUCUGAGAGGAUGAUCUGCCACACUGGAACUGAGACACGGUCCAGACUCCUACGGGAGGCAGCAGUGGGAAUUUUGGACAAUGGGGGCAACCCUGAUCCAGCCAUGCCGCGUGGGUGAAGAAGGCC
This 406-nucleotide ribosomal RNA is filed under the name bacterium enrichment culture clone ALO1_GLFRUDD03FS8H4. Its description in RNAcentral is "bacterial SSU rRNA". It matches the Rfam family "Bacterial small subunit ribosomal RNA", at positions 9 to 416 of the family's 1533-position model. The record is from RNAcentral.